CAGAGAUGGAGCUUUCAGCUAGGCUUGACGAGAUACAGGUGCUGCAUGGCUGUCGUCAGCUCGUGUCGUGAGAUGUUCGGUUAAGUCCGGCAACGAGCGCAACCCACAUCCCUAGUUGCCAGCAGGUUAAGCUGGGCACUCUAUGGAAACUGCCCGUGAUAAGCGGGAGGAAGGUGUGGAUGACGUCAAGUCCUCAUGGCCCUUACGGGUUGGGCUACACACGUGCUACAAUGGCAGUGACAAUGGGUUAAUCCCAAAAAACUGUCUCAGUUCGGAUUGGGGUCUGCAACUCGACCCCAUGAAGUCGGAAUCGCUAGUAAUCGCGUAACAGCAUGACGCGGUGAAUACGUUCCCGGGCCUUGUACACACCGCCCGUCACACCAUGGGAGUUGGUUCUACCCGACGACGCUGCGCUAACCCUUCGGGGAGGCAAGCGGCCACGGUAGGAUCAGCGACUGGGGUGAAGUCGUAACAAGGUAACCGUA
RNAcentral lists this ribosomal RNA (485 nucleotides) under uncultured bacterium. Its description in RNAcentral is "bacterial SSU rRNA". It matches the Rfam family "Bacterial small subunit ribosomal RNA", at positions 1001 to 1504 of the family's 1533-position model. The record is from RNAcentral.